GUAAUUUUGUGAAAUGGGGUGGCGCGUAGCGCGGUGGUGUCACAAAUGGUUUUGGGUAGAUGUACCGCAUUCGAAAAUUAUAGGGCUUCGCGUUUUGAGAGCUUUGUGUGUCCCGUUGUGAUGAUAGAGUAGGUCAA
This is a non-coding RNA of Caenorhabditis elegans, 137 nucleotides long. The record is from Ensembl. Lineage: Eukaryota; Metazoa; Nematoda; Chromadorea; Rhabditida; Rhabditidae.